This 253-nucleotide ribosomal RNA is filed under the name uncultured bacterium. Its description in RNAcentral is "partial 16S ribosomal RNA". It matches the Rfam family "Bacterial small subunit ribosomal RNA", at positions 524 to 776 of the family's 1533-position model. The record is from RNAcentral.
UACGUAGGGGGCAAGCGUUGUCCGGAUUUAUUGGGCGUAAAGAGCGUGUAGGCGGUCAGGUAGGUCCGUUGUGAAAACUCGAGGCUCAACCUCGAGACGCCGAUGGAAACCAUCUGACUAGAGUCCGGAAGAGGAGAGUGGAAUUCCUGGUGUAGCGGUGAAAUGCGCAGAUAUCAGGAAGAACACCCGUGGCGAAGGCGGUUCUCUGGGACGGUACUGACGCUGAGACGCGAAAGCGUGGGGAGCAAACAGG